Molecule: ribosomal RNA, 460 nt
Filed under: uncultured bacterium
Lineage: Bacteria
Description: partial 16S ribosomal RNA
Rfam family: Bacterial small subunit ribosomal RNA
Source: RNAcentral
CUACGGGCCGCUCCAGUUUCGAAUAAUUCACAAUGGGCGCAAGCCUGAUGAUGCGACGUUACGUGAAGGAAGAAAGCUUUAAGUUGUAAACUUCUGUCGUUAAGGAACAAAAAAUUAAGUAGUACUUUUUAUAUUGAGUUAACUUAAAAAGGAAGCAGUGGCUAAUUUCGUGCCAGCAGCCGCGGUAAUACGGGAACUGCAAGCGUUGCUCGGUUUUAUUGGGCGUAAAGAGUACGUAGGCUGUUAUAUAUGUUAAUUGUUAAAUUUUAAAGUUAAUCUUUAAAUUUGCUGUUAAAACUAUAUAACUAGAAUUUCAAAGAGGUAAGUGGAAUUUCAAGUGUAGCGGUGAAAUGCGUAGAUAUUUGAAGGAACACCAAUGGCGAAAGCAACUUACUGGGUGAUAAUUGACGCUAAAGUACGAAAGUAUAGGGAGCAAAAGGGAUUAGAUACCCGAGUAGUC